Molecule: non-coding RNA, 75 nt
Organism: Myotis lucifugus (little brown bat)
Lineage: Eukaryota; Metazoa; Chordata; Mammalia; Chiroptera; Vespertilionidae
Source: Rfam
GGCAGUUCUCGGGUGACGCACCCUGGAAUUGGGCUCUCUCUUCUCUGGUUCCAGGUGUGUCACCCGAGAACCACA